Molecule: ribosomal RNA, 194 nt
Filed under: uncultured bacterium
Lineage: Bacteria
Description: partial 16S ribosomal RNA
Rfam family: Bacterial small subunit ribosomal RNA
Source: RNAcentral
CCUACGGGAGGCAGCAGCAGGGAAUCUUCCGCAAUGGGCGAAAGCCUGACGGAGCAAUGCCGCGUGAGUGAAGAAGGCCUUCGGGUCGUAAAACUCUGUUAUAAGAGAAGAACAAAUUGUAGAGUAACUGCUACAGUCUUGACGGUAUCUUAUCAGAAAGCCACGGCUAACUACGUGCCAGCAGCCGCGGUAAU